RNAcentral lists this ribosomal RNA (1198 nucleotides) under Escherichia coli. RNAcentral's name for it is "partial 23S ribosomal RNA". It matches the Rfam family "Bacterial large subunit ribosomal RNA", at positions 305 to 1514 of the family's 2925-position model. Lineage: Bacteria; Pseudomonadati; Pseudomonadota; Gammaproteobacteria; Enterobacterales; Enterobacteriaceae. The record is from RNAcentral.
AGAGCCUGAAUCAGUGUGUGUGUUAGUGGAAGCGUCUGGAAAGGCGCGCGAUACAGGGUGACAGCCCCGUACACAAAAAUGCACAUAUUGUGAGCUCGAUGAGUAGGGCGGGACACGUGGUAUCCUGUCUGAAUAUGGGGGGACCAUCCUCCAAGGCUAAAUACUCCUGACUGACCGAUAGUGAACCAGUACCGUGAGGGAAAGGCGAAAAGAACCCCGGCGAGGGGAGUGAAAAAGAACCUGAAACCGUGUACGUACAAGCAGUGGGAGCCUCUUAAUGGGGUGACUGCGUACCUUUUGUAUAAUGGGUCAGCGACUUAUAUUCUGUAGCAAGGUUAACCGAAUAGGGGAGCCGAAGGGAAACCGAGUCUUAACUGGGCGUUAAGUUGCAGGGUAUAGACCCGAAACCCGGUGAUCUAGCCAUGGGCAGGUUGAAGGUUGGGUAACACUAACUGGAGGACCGAACCGACUAAUGUUGAAAAAUUAGCGGAUGACUUGUGGCUGGGGGUGAAAGGCCAAUCAAACCGGGAGAUAGCUGGUUCUCCCCGAAAGCUAUUUAGGUAGCGCCUCGUGAAUUCAUCUCCGGGGGUAGAGCACUGUUUCGGCAAGGGGGUCAUCCCGACUUACCAACCCGAUGCAAACUGCGAAUACCGGAGAAUGUUAUCACGGGAGACACACGGCGGGUGCUAACGUCCGUCGUGAAGAGGGAAACAACCCAGACCGCCAGCUAAGGUCCCAAAGUCAUGGUUAAGUGGGAAACGAUGUGGGAAGGCCCAGACAGCCAGGAUGUUGGCUUAGAAGCAGCCAUCAUUUAAAGAAAGCGUAAUAGCUCACUGGUCGAGUCGGCCUGCGCGGAAGAUGUAACGGGGCUAAACCAUGCACCGAAGCUGCGGCAGCGACACUAUGUGUUGUUGGGUAGGGGAGCGUUCUGUAAGCCUGUGAAGGUGGCCUGUGAGGGUUGCUGGAGGUAUCAGAAGUGCGAAUGCUGACAUAAGUAACGAUAAAGCGGGUGAAAAGCCCGCUCGCCGGAAGACCAAGGGUUCCUGUCCAACGUUAAUCGGGGCAGGGUGAGUCGACCCCUAAGGCGAGGCCGAAAGGCGUAGUCGAUGGGAAACAGGUUAAUAUUCCUGUACUUGGUGUUACUGCGAAGGGGGGACGGAGAAGGCUAUGUUGGCCGGGCGACGGUUGUCCCGGUUUA